UGCAAGUCGAACGGUGAAGCCCAGCUUGCUGGGUGGAUCAGUGGCGAACGGGUGAGUAACACGUGAGCAACCUGCCCUCCACUUCGGGAUAAGCCUUGGAAACGGGGUCUAAUACCGGAUAUGAGCACUUGCCGCAUGGUGGGUGUUGGAAAGUUUUUCGGUGGGGGAUGGGCUCGCGGCCUAUCAGCUUGUUGGUGGGGUGAUGGCCUACCAAGGCGUCGACGGGUAGCCGGCCUGAGAGGGCGACCGGCCACACUGGGACUGAGACACGGCCCAGACUCCUACGGGAGGCAGCAGUGGGGAAUAUUGCACAAUGGGCGAAAGCCUGAUGCAGCGACGCCGCGUGAGGGAUGACGGCCUUCGGGUUGUAAACCUCUUUCAGCAGGGAAGAAGGCCUUCGGGUGGACGGUACCUGCAGAAGAAGCGCCGGCUAACUACGUGCCAGCAGCCGCGGUAAUACGUAGGGCGCAAGCGUUGUCCGGAAUUAUUGGGCGUAAAGAGCUCGUAGGCGGUCUGUCGCGUCUGGUGUGAAAUCCCAUGGCUCAACUGUGGGCGUGCAUCGGGUACGGGCAGACUAGAGUGCGGUAGGGGAGACUGGAAUUCCUGGUGUAGCGGUGGAAUGCGCAGAUAUCAGGAGGAACACCGAUGGCGAAGGCAGGUCUCUGGGCCGCAACUGACGCUGAGGAGCGAAAGCAUGGGGAGCGAACAGGAUUAGAUACCCUGGUAGUCCAUGCCGUAAACGUUGGGCACUAGGUGUGGGGCUCAUUCCACG
This 772-nucleotide ribosomal RNA is filed under the name Cellulomonas sp. YIM 923680. RNAcentral's name for it is "bacterial SSU rRNA". It matches the Rfam family "Bacterial small subunit ribosomal RNA", at positions 56 to 845 of the family's 1533-position model. Lineage: Bacteria; Bacillati; Actinomycetota; Actinomycetes; Micrococcales; Cellulomonadaceae. The record is from RNAcentral.